AACAUUGGGGUUCAUAAGUGUGAUGUGUGGGUGUUCACGCUCUUAUGUGACAUGUGCCUCCCACAAACCUUGUUACGACAUCAGCACAUUACCAGUUCGACA
Molecule: small nucleolar RNA, 102 nt
Organism: Artibeus jamaicensis (Jamaican fruit-eating bat)
Lineage: Eukaryota; Metazoa; Chordata; Mammalia; Chiroptera; Phyllostomidae
Product: small nucleolar RNA U13
Exons: 1
Source: RefSeq, a predicted model, not a curated record